GGGAAUUCGCCAGAGUUGGAGAGCUGGAGCAGACUGUAAAUCUGUUGUGUAAUGCUGAGUAGGUUCGAAUCCUACAAUUCCCA
This 83-nucleotide transfer RNA is filed under the name Kordia algicida OT-1. Its description in RNAcentral is "tRNA-Tyr". It matches the Rfam family "tRNA". From Rfam's summary of the family: Transfer RNA (tRNA) molecules are approximately 80 nucleotides in length. The record is from RNAcentral. Lineage: Bacteria; Pseudomonadati; Bacteroidota; Flavobacteriia; Flavobacteriales; Flavobacteriaceae.